AGUUCCUCCAGUAUAUCGUUGUUUUCCUCAGUCGAGACGUACUUAAUCAGUUUCAGCUUCGAGGAUGUAACGUGUAAUGCACUGGACAUACAGUAAUGUGCUUUAAUUUGCCUUUGAUAAUUUACAUAUAGAAUUCUGCUCCGACUGAUUCUGCCUUUUGUCCGCCGUAUUUACAUAUGCGUACUAUUUUGUAUCCAAAUUGCGGGCAAAAUGUCGGGCCGUAUAUGCAGGAACAUGAAUAACACACGAUUAUAUUUUCGAUUUCCGAUCCGUAUAAUGAUUAAUAAUGUGCCUUUAAGAAUACAAUAUUAUAUUAUUGAAAUUUACUAAACGUGGCGUGAGAGCGUGAGAGUGAAGCGAAUUGCGUGAGACUCACGCCGAAUGCGUGAGAGUUGAGAGGUCUGGCAUGCAAGUGCUGGGGGGGGGGGGGCUGGUGAUGAUCAUGUGCAGGGGCGGAUACAGGGUUGAUACAGGGUUUUUGAUGAUCAGUUACUACAUUCACCCAACUAGUAGGGGGGUCCGGUCCCCUGGAAAAAUUUUAAAAUUUGGGGCUCUGAAACAGCACUUUUUAAAAAUUAAUUUAAUGAUUAGAAAAUGCAUGUUUUUAAGUGAAUUUUUGACAAAUUAGUUAUAUACAUGAUGAUUGAAGGUUAUAGAUUUUCUUUCUUUGGAAAAUCUGACAGGUUUAUGUAAACCUGUCGAAUGCGCCCCUGAUGUGAAUGUGCGAACGUGUGGUGCCGAUGAGCACGUGAACUUAUUUUUUGUAAGUGUGUUUUACUUUUACGUUAAUUUGCUGCAAAAAAGCGUAUAUAGAAACAUGUUAUUAAUAAUAUUUCUAUCUUACUUAACAGUAGUUUAAUUUAGUGCAUUUAAAUUUUGGCAGGGACAUGCCAUGGGGUGCACAUUUUUGUUGGAGGGGUGCACAAUUUCUCCUGGGGGGGGGGGGAAUUGGGAAGGUGCGCACCCCCAGAAAAUCCGUCCUUGCCGGCAACGCCAGCAGCACCGCUGCCAGGAAAUUUUUAACAAAAUAUAUUUGCAGGAAUUUUCUUGCAUCUUGCAAGAAAUGUUGUCAUCUUAUACACUGGAAUGCCAAAUGAUUUAAUUAUUGUAAAAACUCGUAAAGAAUAUCACAAGUUUAUCACAAUGUGCAACACCAUACAUUCUCUGAAAUCUACAUAUGCAGGAAGUUUUUUAUUAAUGACUCACACAGGAAAUUUUAUUUUUGGAUUUUGAUGCCAGGAAGAGAAAUAUAUUUUCUAGGCCUAUGUAGGUGAUAGCACAUUUCAAAUUCAGGGGUUGAAAUGAGAGGGUGCCUUAGUUGUGACUAGAUAUUCGGCGAAGGUAUAGUCCUUCAGGGUGACUGAAAAAAACCUUAAAAUAAUAAUUAUAAAUGAAAGGAAGCCUGAAAAAUAAUAUCCUAGUGCUGUAUAUUAAGGGACGGACCAUUAGAAAAGUGAUGGGGGGGGGGGNNNNNNNNNNNNNNNNNNNNNNNNNNNNNNNNNNNNNGGGGGGGGGGGAUUUUCUAAGAGGCAAUAUUUUUUUUUGUACACCUAUAGAAGAAAUUUUUGUUUUUCUCACGUGAUGGUUGGAAAUUUUUUUUUUUAAAGAGGCCCUACAGUAAUUUUUUAGGCAAGUAUUGUUUACAUUUUUUUGUUAUUGUCGCUACUUGACAUGUGCACCACAGUAUGCAUGCGUUUUCUGGUGUGCAAAAGUACUCGUACUCAUGGAUACUGCAUGUAAGAUACAGCCAAACGAAUCUUUGUGGAUUGAGUCCCCUACUUAAGGUGGCUUUCGACUAAAAAAUGACUGUAGGGCCCCUUUAAGUGAAAUUUAUAGGCCUAUUAGUGGUGUAGUCCUGGAAUGUUGACAAGGGGGGCUCUCCAAAGUGCCCUGAAUUGGCGGGAGGGGAGGGGAGGUACAAUAAGAUAUUUUGGGAAUUCUAAAUUUUUUUGGGGUUUAUUCUAGUAAUUCUGGGACAAACAUUUGACGUUAUUCUUAUUAAAAACAAGCCGAAGCGAGGGCCGAAGGCCCGAGGAAAUUUUUAAAUUUAGAGAGUCUGAAAUGCCAUUUCCUGGACUUUGGGUAAGAUUUGACAGAAUUCUGAUGGUCAGAAAACGUACAGCGUUUUAGUAUGUCGAAAUUUACAAUUUAGUGAUACUAAAUGGGCGAAGGCGUAUUUAAUUAACUAUAUAUUGGAUAAGUUGCAGGAAAUUAUGGGUAAUAUCUUCAUUCUUUGCAGUUUGUCAUGAUGGAUAAUGUAGCAGCAAUUAAACUUAAUCAAUUGUCAGUGUUUUAAAGUUAUAUUAUUUAAAUGUAUUGAGUUGGCACAGAUUUGUCCUUGGCACAUAUGGUAAAGACCCUACAAUUUUUGAGCCUCUGACCGUAUAGUGAUGACGUAAACUUUAUGUCUAUGCGCCAAGGGGACUGACCUUAAACCUUGGCAGCCUACUUGCAUGGGGGGUGGUGAGCUAACCUGUGCCUUGCCCGCGGUGGAAACAAGUGCUGCCUGCUCUCUCAGACAAAAUGUCUCUUCACCCUGCUGACGAACGUUAGAGGACACAUGAUUUUGAAAAAAGGAUUAUUAGCAAAUUAUUGGGGGGGGGGCUGCAGCCCACAGCCCCUCCGCUUGAUACGGCCCUGGAUAGAGUUUAAAUCAGACAAAACAGGAUCGGUACUUCAACUGCCAAUUUGCUAUGGCGCAUAAACAACGCGAUAUAAAGAUUACAAAAAUCAUUAUUGUGUUAAAUGAUGAGUGAAAAUGAGAUGCAAUUCUAAAGAACAUUCUCGUUUACUGAUAUUUUUUUUGUGUGUUUUUGACGUUGUUAAGAUUAUGCAACAUGCCAAAAUAUAGGGGGGGGCUCAGCACGCUGGUCAUAUUCGAUCAGCAAAUUUUCUCCCAGGACCGCAGGCUAAUAUUGUCAGUGGACUUGCGGUUUACUUUUCUAAUGGUCCGUCCCUAAGUAUUUCAUUCUACUUUUGCAUAUAUAAUUUGUCGGUGGCAUAUUAAUUAAACAAUUACUGCUUUUUUAUGUUAUCCAUGUACAAAGAGAAUAUUUCAUACCACAGUGAUAUAGGGAGAUCUGAUCUGAGCCCCCACACCAAAUAUGCCUAAGGGCCCCCUCUUCCUCCUUUACGCCACUGGUGCAAUGCAAGUCAGUGCAACUCGAUGGGUUAACUAGACACAUACAUGGCACAUGGGCAGAUAGGUCAGUUAACUCAUUAAUUGCCAGCGCACUCCCCUUGACAAGUAGAAUCGUCUAGUGUUAGACAGAGUAAAAUAAUGAAGUAGGGCACAUCGGGGCGCAAUGCAACUCACUAUUCUUAUUUAGUUCAAAGUUCUUGUUUUAGUCUUACUGUAUUUAGUCAAAAAUCCUUAUUUC
RNAcentral lists this long non-coding RNA (3380 nucleotides) under Paramuricea clavata. The record is from RNAcentral. Lineage: Eukaryota; Metazoa; Cnidaria; Anthozoa; Malacalcyonacea; Plexauridae.